This 246-nucleotide long non-coding RNA is filed under the name Carica papaya (papaya). RNAcentral describes it as "long non-coding RNA (CPAP_LNC015684)". Lineage: Eukaryota; Viridiplantae; Streptophyta; Magnoliopsida; Brassicales; Caricaceae. The record is from RNAcentral.
GUUGGUCAAAAAAAGUCAAAAAAUAGAAACCUAUAGGUGGUGAAAUUUUCUAGUGCAGCGGCUCCACCGACUCACCUUCACAGUUGGGCCUUUUUCUUUGGUCAAUCUAUAAAAGACAUAACGGUGAACACAAUGGUAGAAAAAUCACAAGAAACAGAAAACAGGAAGGGGUUCAUCAGAGGCGGUUGCAGGUUUUGCUUGCGACAGCGGCCCCAGAUUUUGCCCGCAGUUUUCGGUUCACCCGUC